UACAGAGGGUGCGAGCGUUGUCCGGAAUCACUGGGCGUAAAGGGCGCGUAGGUGGCGCAACAAGUCAGUGGUGAAAGCUCGACGCUCAACGUCGAGUCGGCCACUGAGACUGUUGGGCUUGAGCACUGUAGAGGCUAAUGGAAUUCCGGGUGUAGCGGUGGAAUGCGUAGAGAUCCGGAAGAACACCGGUGGCGAAGGCGGCGCUCUGGACCGAGACUGACGCUGAGGCGCGAAAGCGUGGGGAGCAAACAGG
This 253-nucleotide ribosomal RNA is filed under the name uncultured bacterium. RNAcentral describes it as "partial 16S ribosomal RNA". It matches the Rfam family "Bacterial small subunit ribosomal RNA", at positions 524 to 776 of the family's 1533-position model. The record is from RNAcentral.